Molecule: long non-coding RNA, 681 nt
Filed under: Medicago truncatula (barrel medic)
Lineage: Eukaryota; Viridiplantae; Streptophyta; Magnoliopsida; Fabales; Fabaceae
Description: long non-coding RNA (MTRU_LNC002925)
Source: RNAcentral
UCCCUUCAAUACAUUUCGAGUUCCCUAGAAUUAAGAGGAUUUUAUAUUAUGAAAAAAAAAAUAAUAAAACCUUCAAAAUUCUCUCCUCUCAAUGUCAUCUAUUUGUUCCUCUUUCUCCUUUUUUUUUUUUUUUUUAGCCCUUCACUUUUCACGAACUUCCAAUUAGACCUAAAUCAUCGCUAGGAAGUUUCUUCGAAACUUCAUAAAAACAGCAAAGCAUGAAUUGAUCUUACAUUGCUGAAAAAAAAUACAUGGGAAGGACAACAUUGAUUAACACUUGACAUCCUCAAAAGCUAUGAUACAUCCAAAAAUAAAUGAUUCUUAACACACCUAAUUACAUAAAUUCACCGUACCCCAUUGACAUACUAUAUAUUUUAUUAAGAACAAAAAGUACUCUUCACACACACCAUUUUGGUAUACAAAACUCCAAAACAAGUUUACCUCUUGUCUAGGUAAUCUAGAAAUUGCAAGAACUCAAAUGUGUAACGUAUACAAAGGUCUCUCUCUAACCCAGCAAAUAGAACUUCGUUUGCUAGCUUUGUGUCGUAUUGCAAGUACAUUAUUAGCCGGCAUAUGAGCCAUGAGUCCAUCCACAUUUUCUUCAAUGUGUGCACAUAAUGUUAAAUUCAUUUAAUUCAUAAAUGUCAAAUUACAAACAAUUAAUGCUCUCUCUCUAUCUGA